This 410-nucleotide long non-coding RNA is filed under the name Gossypium barbadense (sea-island cotton). Its description in RNAcentral is "long non-coding RNA (GBAR_LNC021580)". The record is from RNAcentral. Lineage: Eukaryota; Viridiplantae; Streptophyta; Magnoliopsida; Malvales; Malvaceae.
GACAAAUUUGAAAUUGUUGGAAAAGUUUAUGAAAAUGUUACAAACUUUGGAAUACAAGGGUCACACAGCUAUGUGGCCCAGCCAAGUGCCUCACACGGUUGAGACACACGCCCAUGUUUCAGGCCGUGUAACCUUCGAACUAGGGACACAUGGGUGUGCCCCUGCCCGUGUCCUCACCCGUGUAAUUCACUGAGUAGGGUCACAUGGUCGUGUCAAACGCCCGUGUGCCAGCCCGUGUGCCAGACCGUGUGCUAGGCCGUGUUACUCACUAACUUGCAUACAAAUAAACCUACAGGAGACACACAGCCGUGCCGCUAGGCCAUGUGUAACACAUGGCUAAGUCACACACUCGUGUCUCAAGCCGUGUGGAUAUAAAUUUGCCCCAAACUAAGCAAUUUCCAUCACCAAAU